AACUUCAAGAUCAAAUAAUGCUU
RNAcentral lists this small nuclear RNA (23 nucleotides) under Arabidopsis thaliana (thale cress). RNAcentral's name for it is "snRNA_03271". Lineage: Eukaryota; Viridiplantae; Streptophyta; Magnoliopsida; Brassicales; Brassicaceae. The record is from RNAcentral.